Coffea arabica (coffee) is the source of this 135-nucleotide non-coding RNA. The record is from RefSeq and is a predicted model, not a curated record. Lineage: Eukaryota; Viridiplantae; Streptophyta; Magnoliopsida; Gentianales; Rubiaceae.
CCAAGCAUAACUCCGUCAGAGAUGUCUUAAUGGAGGAGCGUGGGGCAAUUUCAACACACUGUGAUGUUGAUGCAUAUCAUGUAUUUGCACCAUCACCUCAGGGAAGAAAUAACACACAGGGAUUGCAACUACGCG